This 71-nucleotide transfer RNA is filed under the name Patescibacteria group bacterium. RNAcentral describes it as "tRNA-Pro". It matches the Rfam family "tRNA". Rfam says of the family: Transfer RNA (tRNA) molecules are approximately 80 nucleotides in length. Their secondary structure includes four short double-helical elements and three loops (D, anti-codon, and T loops). The record is from RNAcentral.
CGGGGCAUAGUGUAAUGGUAGCACGAGUCCCUUGGGAGGAUUUAGCCUGGGUUCGAAUCCCAGUGCCCCGA